AAAUGUGAUCUUCUAGAAGUGGUUUCUGAAAAAUAAGUACAUAUACACAAGUAAGCAAGCACAAGAAUCUGAAAAACCACAGGUCAAGAUACACAGCACUUCCAGCACCCCUGGGGAUUUCUUCCUUUUGCCUUUCUGGUCAGUUUUCACCCCACUUUCAACCUGAAGGCGCUGGGAAUCACCAUUCUACUUUAUGUCUCUAUGAAUUUGACUGCUUAAGUGUCUCAUGAGUAGAACCACAGACUAUUUAUUCUUUUGUAACCAGCUUU
This is a long non-coding RNA of Artibeus jamaicensis (Jamaican fruit-eating bat), 269 nucleotides long. RefSeq lists it as uncharacterized. NCBI's taxonomy places the organism in Eukaryota, Metazoa, Chordata, Mammalia, Chiroptera, Phyllostomidae. The record is from RefSeq and is a predicted model, not a curated record. The transcript has 3 exons.